UACGGGGGGGGUAAGCGUUGUUCGGAAUUACUGGGCGUAAAGGGCUCGUAGGCGGCCAACUAAGUCAGACGUGAAAUCCCCAGGCUCAACCUGGGAACUGCGUCUGAUACUGGAUGGCUUGAAUUCGGGAGAGGGAUGCAGAAUUCCAGGUGUAGCGGUGAAAUGCGUAGAUAUCUGGAGGAAUACCGGUGGCGAAGGCGGCAUCCUGGACCGAUAUUGACACUGAGGAGCGAAAGCCAGGGGAGCAAACGGG
RNAcentral lists this ribosomal RNA (253 nucleotides) under uncultured bacterium. RNAcentral's name for it is "partial 16S ribosomal RNA". It matches the Rfam family "Bacterial small subunit ribosomal RNA", at positions 524 to 776 of the family's 1533-position model. The record is from RNAcentral.